GCCGGUUUAGCUUAGUGGUAGAGCGUUGCACUUGUAAUCCUUGGGAUGAACACCCAGGUCAGCAUGCAAAGGUCGGUUGUUCAAUCCAGCCAACCGGCA
This is a transfer RNA of Moniliophthora roreri MCA 2997, 99 nucleotides long. It matches the Rfam family "tRNA". Rfam says of the family: Transfer RNA (tRNA) molecules are approximately 80 nucleotides in length. Their secondary structure includes four short double-helical elements and three loops (D, anti-codon, and T loops). Lineage: Eukaryota; Fungi; Basidiomycota; Agaricomycetes; Agaricales; Marasmiaceae. The record is from Rfam.